AGUGAACGCUGGCGGUAGGCCUAACACAUGCAAGUCGAACGGCAGCACAGUAAGAGCUUGCUCUUACGGGUGGCGAGUGGCGGACGGGUGAGGAAUACAUCGGAAUCUACUUUUUCGUGGGGGAUAACGUAGGGAAACUUACGCUAAUACCGCAUACGACCUACGGGUGAAAGCAGGGGAUCUUCGGACCUUGCGCGAUUGAAUGAGCCGAUGUCGGAUUAGCUAGUUGGCGGGGUAAAGGCCCACCAAGGCGACGAUCCGUAGCUGGUCUGAGAGGAUGAUCAGCCACACUGGAACUGAGACACGGUCCAGACUCCUACGGGAGGCAGCAGUGGGGAAUAUUGGACAAUGGGGGCAAGCCUGAUCCAGCCAUACCGCGUGGGUGAAGAAGGCCUUCGGGUUGGAAAGCCCUUUUGUUGGGAAAGAAAAGCAGCAGGUUAAUACCCCGCUGUUCUGACGGUACCCAAAGAAUAAGCACCGGCUAACUUCGUG
Molecule: ribosomal RNA, 492 nt
Filed under: uncultured bacterium
Lineage: Bacteria
Description: partial 16S ribosomal RNA
Rfam family: Bacterial small subunit ribosomal RNA
Source: RNAcentral